Molecule: long non-coding RNA, 391 nt
Filed under: Mustela putorius furo (domestic ferret)
Lineage: Eukaryota; Metazoa; Chordata; Mammalia; Carnivora; Mustelidae
Description: lncRNA (ENSMPUG00000028014.1)
Source: RNAcentral
UGAAACUUUAAAAAAUCCAUAUUAAUGCAAAGAACCUUGUCCCAAAGUUCCUGGAGUUGGCUCCAGAAAUAUGCAACGUUAUUAGCACACAGAUGGACAAUAUGGUGAUUGAGCACUCCCAUACAUGACUCAGUGCUUAUCACCACGAUAAGGAUAGAACUAACUGCACUUUCUGAGCCUCUCAUGUAUGGUUGGGACAUGAGAUUCAUCCUGGUAACUAAAUGUGAGACAAAUUAAUCUAUGUCAUUUCUAGUCUGAGAGAAUAGCCAAUAUGAGACUCUCCAGAGAUUUCUUUUCUCUCCAGAAGAGUGACUGACAAAAUUUAAGAUGGUUGAUGAGCCGUCAUGAUGAGUCCUAUCAUGAGGAGCAGAAACGGAACUCAACCUGUAAU